AAGUGAAGAUUUGGAGAGAUUGUUGCGAGUAGGUUAACGUACUGAUUCAAUGGCAUAUCUUUAGUACCUAUUGCUGUAAACACAACUGUCUGCUGCUUUCUUUAUUCUCUGUAGUACGGGGCUCACUCACUUCAUAACCCAGGUUGGUCUGGAACUCAGAGGUGUGUAGCUACUCUGAACUGAAACAUACUGCCAUUUCACCUCAGCCUCCUCAGUGCUGGUAUGACAAGCAGCCACGUGUAAUUUGGUUCUUCUUUUCUCUGCUAUGUUCUCUCAUUUGAGGGAUGCACAUGUGUGAUCAGAACACAUAGGUGACACAUAAUUGCCUUUAGGACUUUUUUAGGUUUUAAUUUUAUUUCUAAGUACAUUGAAUUGCAUUAAAUGUCAUAAAGGAAAGGAACUUGAAUGUAAAAUAUUACACAAGCUAGGAAAGAAACCAAACAAUUGAAGAAAAAUGUGAGGCCAACUGAGAGGCAUCAUUACCACGCUGCUCAGCUCUCAGAGAGAAGGUAGAGGAAGGAUUAAGAUGGUGGGCAUUGGUUUGUGUGCAGUGGGAAACCCACAGAAGCAAAGGUCAUAAGGUUAUGAUGUUUGGAGAAUUUAAAUAUCUAUUAUAAUUUUUAAGUGGGCAGGAUCCCAUGUAACCCAUUUGGUUUCAAGCUCACUAUGUAGCCAAGGAUGGUCUUGAUAUUCUGCUUCUCCUACCUUUAUCUCCUCAGUGGCAGGGUUUCAGGUUUGUGCUACCAUGCCUAUAUUGUAUAGUGUUAGGAAUUAAACCUAAGUUUUUAUUUAUGCUAGAGGAGCAGUCAACCAACUGAGAUACAUGCCCAGUCUUCUGGAACAAAGUAUUCAGGACCGUUUGCAUGAGCCCUUACAAGGUAUUGGCUCCUCCAAGGAGUCUUUUUAUCUUUUUUGUGCUUCAAGGACACCCAUUUCAAAAUAAUAUAUAUUAGCUCUAGAUUCCCUAUAAUUCAACUUAAAAUAUAUUUCUUAUUCACAUCUAUUGUGGUUUGAAUGAAAAUGGCCUCCAUAGACUCAUAGGGAGUGGCACUAUUAGGAGUUGUGGCCUUUUCAGAGGAAGUCAAACCAGUCUUUCAGGUUUCAGAUGGUCAAACUAGGACAUAUGUUAUGUCACGCUUCCUCUUGGCUGCCUGUUGAUCCAGAUUU
Molecule: long non-coding RNA, 1167 nt
Filed under: Mus musculus (house mouse)
Lineage: Eukaryota; Metazoa; Chordata; Mammalia; Rodentia; Muridae
Description: long non-coding RNA chr11:93157975-93159142
Source: RNAcentral